GGUGAGGUGGCUGAGUGGUCGAAAGCAGCGCUUUGCUAAAGCGCCGUGCUCCAAAAGGGCACCGAGGGUUCGAAUCCCUCCCUCACCG
RNAcentral lists this transfer RNA (88 nucleotides) under Chthoniobacterales bacterium. Its description in RNAcentral is "tRNA-Ser". It matches the Rfam family "tRNA". From Rfam's summary of the family: Transfer RNA (tRNA) molecules are approximately 80 nucleotides in length. Their secondary structure includes four short double-helical elements and three loops (D, anti-codon, and T loops). The record is from RNAcentral. Lineage: Bacteria; Pseudomonadati; Verrucomicrobiota; Spartobacteria; Chthoniobacterales.